UUACGGAAGGCAGCAGUGAGGAAUAUUGCGCAAUGGGGGAAACCCUGACGCAGCAACGCCGCGUGAAGGAAGAAGGUCUUCGGAUUGUAAACUUUUUUGGUCAGGGAAGAGAGAGGACUGUACCUGAAGAACAAGCCACGGCAAACUACGUGCCAGCAGCCGCGGUAAUACGUAGGUGGCAAGCGUUGUCCGGAAUUACUGGGUGUAAAGGGCGAGUAGGCGGGAGUAGAAGUCAUGUGUGAAAUACCGUGAAAAGAGCACGGCAAUGCAUGUGAAACUAGACUUCUUGAGUGCUGGAGAGGGAAGCGGAAUUCCUAGUGUAGCGGUGAAAUGCGUAGAUAUUAGGAGGAACACCAGUGGCGAAGGCGGCUUUCUGGACAGUAACUGACGCUGAGGCGCGAAAGCGUGGGGAGCAAACAGGAUUAGAUACCCCAGUAGUC
This 440-nucleotide ribosomal RNA is filed under the name uncultured bacterium. RNAcentral's name for it is "bacterial SSU rRNA". It matches the Rfam family "Bacterial small subunit ribosomal RNA", at positions 339 to 795 of the family's 1533-position model. The record is from RNAcentral.